RNAcentral lists this transfer RNA (76 nucleotides) under Affinundibacterium amnicola. Its description in RNAcentral is "tRNA-Phe". It matches the Rfam family "tRNA". From Rfam's summary of the family: Transfer RNA (tRNA) molecules are approximately 80 nucleotides in length. Their secondary structure includes four short double-helical elements and three loops (D, anti-codon, and T loops). The record is from RNAcentral. Lineage: Bacteria; Pseudomonadati; Pseudomonadota; Betaproteobacteria; Burkholderiales; Oxalobacteraceae.
GCAGAAAUAGCUCAGACGGUAGAGCGCAGGUUUGAAGAACCUGGCGUCGAAGGUUCAAAUCCUUCUUUCUGCACCA